Dendrobium catenatum is the source of this 2069-nucleotide RNA transcript. RefSeq lists it as uncharacterized. The transcript has 2 exons. Lineage: Eukaryota; Viridiplantae; Streptophyta; Magnoliopsida; Asparagales; Orchidaceae. The record is from RefSeq and is a predicted model, not a curated record.
CCUAGCACUUGGAAAGCCCAGCAGCUCUUCAAGCCAUGCCUCAUUAUCUCACUUGCUUUGCUCUGAACUCCUAUAAUUUCUACCCUAAUCUGCUCACAGGCCCGACAUUAUCGACGCCAUGAAGAAGAAACGGAGGCCGGAGAGGCUGAUCUCAGUUCUCAUGGCCUCCGCCGCACCCCGCUGCCCUCAAAGCCUACCCCUCUUGCGUCCCCGCUUCGCUAUAUCCCAAAGUAACAAACCCUUCACGUCUUUCUUCUCGAAUUGGUCCUCGUAACCGCCGCCUUUGUGGGCAUGGCAUUAAACAUCCAGUUCGGCUGCGAGGUCACAAGAGUCGGCCACGUUUUGGCCGUGGUGAACGCACUUCUUAGAAUCUUCAUUGCCGAUUUUGCUGAGUUUUGCUUUAUUUUCGAGGGGGCUGGGGAUUCUCUCAAGAAUGCCAUGGAUUAGACCGGUGGCGCAUCCAUUGUUAAGUGAGCCAUGGGCCCAUGGAGGCUUCCUCUUUGGGAUGCAGAGUUCUUUUCGUUGGAAAACAAAGUGGUCUUCUCCCUCCUGGAGGUUUCUGAGCUUUCAGGAAGUUGGUGUGUAUCAUGGGAUUGUGUUCUAACCAAGGAGACAAGUUUCUGUAGUGAUAGGAAAAAAAUAAAAGAAUACUGUGUUAGACCUGAACCGGUCCAAGAAAAAAAAAAAGAAAGAAAAGAAGACUGUGUUAGAGCUGAACCGGUCCAACCUAGACCUGCUUAGUCUACUCCCGCCGGGCCAAGAAAAAAAAAAGGCGGGUGGGCAACCUUGGCGAGGCCCAGGGAUUGAAUUAAACACGGGUUAAGAGGGAAAUUUUGAAUGAGGGGCUGUUUAGGGAUUAUGUAAUCUUCCUUUUGCUUUAUAUUGUCUAGCAUGUUAGGGUUUGGAGGUAUCUUGAAUUUGAAAUCAGAUUUGAGAUUUAGGGUUGGUUCUUUUGAGCUCUAGACUUGGCUAGAGAUUUUGGAGAGUUGUUUCUUCCUCUCAAAUUGAAGAAACGUGUAUCUUUUACUGUUUUCCUGCAUCUACUAGUUGAAUCCUUCAUUUUCUGCUGUUUUCCCGAAGAAACCUGCCGUUCUUUGCUAUUUUUCUGCUGUAAACAGCAGUUUUACUCACUGUUUUCACCAAUUGUCGUUAGGCUUGCUUGCGAACUCAAUUAUUUCUCUUAGGGUUACUAGCGAACUCAAGUAUUUCCUGACAGACUGUUGUAAGGUACUAGAUGUAGGAGCUAACCAUUUGGUGCAUUGAAAUCGCUUUAAGAUACGAGAGAAUCAAAAAUAGCUUGCAAUUGUUUCAAGCCUACACGUAGUUUUGAGCUUAGCUAAACACAAAUUAAUUUUAUUUACUUUCCUGGUUUUGCUCUGUAAUCGUUUCUUUCUUUAGAAUAUAAGAUAUGGUGAGAUUCCUGCUGCUUGUACUGAAAGGUGGUCGUUCGCACUGAAUAUUUUGCGUGCUGAUAAAGCUCUUGUGGUCAAUUUCCUUCCUAAGCUUGUGAAAGCUAUAGCAGGUCGUUGCCUGUUUGUUUAUUCUCUAUUCUCCUUUGAUUUGAAUUAUGCCCUGUCGCUUCCAGCUUCUAUUUUCGCAUACCAGCUCUUCUCCUCUUGAUGAAUAGUAGAUUUAGGCUUAGUUUAGGACGGCUUUUUUAUUGCUUUCUAAAACGGAGUUUUAAUACAAUUUUUUUUAUUUUUGUAUUAAAACUCCGUUUUAAAAAGCAAUAAAAAAGCCGUCCCAGUUUCGGAUGGCUUCCUUCCUGGCUUGGAAGGAGUGCUAUUGGUACUAGAAAGCCGCUUUAAGAAGCAGUAAGAAAGCUGCCCCAAACGAAGCCUUAGGCUUCGUUUGGGACGACUUACUUGUUGCUUCUUAAAACAGCUUUUUAGUAUAAAAAUUAAAAUUUUUCUACUAGAAAACUGCUUUAAGAAGCAACAAAAAAGUUGUCCCAAAUGAAAACUUAAUUGAAGAACUAACCAUUGAUAUUUUUCUGACUUGGAAGGAGCCAUAACAUCUGUAACUAAAUAUUCACAUUUUUCUUUAAUCAAAACAACACGUUACACUUA